Molecule: non-coding RNA, 28 nt
Filed under: Mus musculus (house mouse)
Lineage: Eukaryota; Metazoa; Chordata; Mammalia; Rodentia; Muridae
Source: RNAcentral
UGGGACGUAGAAAGUGCUGGGUGAUUGC